UUUCUGUUUUCCUAUUUUGACUGCACUACUUGUCAUUAGGUUCUAGAAUUUUUCCCAAAAGGCACCCUAUUCCCUUUAUGGUGUACUACUUUUGACCAGAGCCCUAUCGGCUUUGGUCAGAAGGAGUGCACUAUAAAGGGAAUAGGGUUCCAUUUGGGAUGCAUUUUGGGACACAACCUUGUGUAUGUCUGUCUGCUGAGUCUUCUAAAUAAAGUGAGCCUCAAGUCCCGAUUCUCUAACCUGUACCUAAAACCCUACUGACCAGUCAUAUGCAAUUAAUAAAUAUGUAUGACAUCAAUUUCCUGUGCAUGUUGGUGUUGAGGGAUUUUUGCCCUCAGUUCAAAUCUUUUGUUUCCCCUGUCUCAAGGACAAGGUAAGAUGGACAAAGUCCUUUGAGCUUGACACAAUUGUACUGUUUAUUGAAAACAGAGGAAUACUUCUGCCAUUGUUAUGUAAUAGGAUGCUGGAAUACCUGUCAUUCUUAUGUAAUAUCGGAAAUGCAUAUUGAGUUAGUUUUUUUCAGUGAUAUAGCUCUACAUGUCACUGACUAAAUGGAACAAUAUAUCACUAUACACAAGUGCAUUCAGCCACUCAUAGGCUCUCACAUAACACAAUCAAAUACUCUGAGAACGAUGAAUGAAGCAUAAAGUACAGUAUGUUUACAUACAGGCCUUUGGUACAAUAUUGGUUUAAAUAACUAGCUGGUCAAAGUUUGCUGGUUGAAAUUCUUCUGUUGAUGGAUCUGCCUUGCGGUAAAUUACAGCACCAGUCCAAUGAACAAGAGACAUCCUGGCUCGUUUGCUGACAUCAUGAAAGCGCAUGAGGAAAUCAUCAUUUCCAAUCAAGUAAAUCAACGGAUUGAUUGCGCUAUUCAGGCAAGCUAGGCCGCGGCUGAUUUGAUGAACAACAUAGAUGUCAUCGAAGCUUGCUUUGCAGGUGCCUUCCAUUUUCAAAAUCCUUAUCUUCAAAUUGAGAUUUCGCAAAACAUGGUAAGGGAUAAAGCAAAUUGAGAAUAACACAGUCAAGAUGAUGACUAGUUUUAGACACCUCUGUUUCAAUAAAGUAUUGACGUUGGCUUUGGUGGCAAGGACCACUACUAUAUGUCCAUAGCAAGCAACAAUGACGAGCAAUGGUAUAACGAAUCCGGUAACGGUCCAGCCAAUGCUAUACGGCAGGUAAUCCUUGAUAAGGUGGUCGGCUGUUGAGUCAUAGCACGCAUCUGAGGAAUUUGGCGCUGUCUUGUCAAAGAACAUAUCGGGAAGUAUCUGAAUAAAAACCAAAAUCCAGACAAGAAAACUUAUUGCCACAGAGUGGCGAGUGGUGAUUCUUCCCAUCACGUGCAUUGGGUGCACAAUACCAAGAGUGAAGUCAAGACACAAGCUAUUUUUCGAAUUGCAGAAGAAUAUCAAUCGAUGACGCCCAGAAGUUAAUGAAAUCAAACUUGGACAUGGACACACUUCUGAAAUCGUAGCCGUCCACAAACAUGCUGCGCAUGACUACCUAAUGUGAAACUAAAAGUGUAUACACUUUUUUUUAUUUUUAUAUAAGGAUUAUUCCAUUAGUUUACAGGAGGUAAUGUGAUACUGUAUCGAAAGAUAAAUUAGCAGAGUUAUAGUAUCCUGCAAUUAUUACUGCAAGUUAAGAUAUGAGUAACAACCCACUGGGCACACACUGGUUGAGUCAACAUUGUUUCAAUGGUCAACCUAUUGUGACGUGAAAUAUAAGUGGAAAGCACAUUUGGAUUUGAAAAAAGUCAUCACCAGUAGAUUACUGUUUUCAUCUCAUUUCAACCAGCAUUGUAAACAUUGCAAUUAGGGAAAAACUUAAACUUAAGUACAAUGACUUAACCUGACUAACAGGUUGUUACAUUAACAUAAUCAUCAGAACUAUCUAUACAUUGGAAUUGAGUCAGAAAUUCCAUGUAGAAAUGUAACAAAUAUUUUUCAUCCUUUGUACUGAGUGUACAAAACAUUAAGAAUGACAUAUACUGACCAGGUGAAAGCUAUGAGCACUUAUUGAUGUCAUGUGUUAUAUCCACUUCAAUCAGUGUAGAUGAAGGGGUGGAGACACUUUAAAGAAGGAUUUUUAAGCCUUGAGACAAUUGAGACAUGGAUUGUGUAUGUAUGCCAUUUAGAGGGUGAAUGGGAAAGACAAGAUUUAAGUGCCUUUGGAAGGGGUAUGGUAGUAGAUGCCAGGCACACCGGUUUGUGUCAAGAACUGCAACGCUGCUGGAUUUUUCUCACUCCACAGUUUCCUGUUUGUAUCAAGAAUGGUCCACCACCCAAAGGACAUCCAGCCAACAUGACACAAUUGUGGGAAGCAUUGGAGUCAACAUGGGCCAGCAUCCCUGUUGAACGCUUUCGAUACCUUGUAGAGUUUAUGCUCCGACAAAUUGAGGGCAAAAGGAGGGGGUGCAACUCAAUAUUAGGAAGGUGUUCUGAAUGUUUUAAACACUCAGUUAUUGGGGUGGUUCAAAUUUUGUGGAAUUUCAUAUUUGUAUAGACAUUUCAUUUGACCUUGUUUCAAUGUUGAUAGUAAAAUUGU
Molecule: long non-coding RNA, 2544 nt
Filed under: Salmo salar (Atlantic salmon)
Lineage: Eukaryota; Metazoa; Chordata; Actinopteri; Salmoniformes; Salmonidae
Description: lncRNA (ENSSSAG00000108224.1, ENSSSAG00000111813.1)
Source: RNAcentral